CAGAGACUAUACUUUCACAGUUGUUUCAGAUGUCUGCAAAAGAAAGAAACGACACUGAAGGGGAACUUGAACUAAAAAUAUUCAUACAGUGACUAUUCAUCAGUUAAUAGAAAUCCUGGUUAAAUAGCUUCUAUACACACAAAAUAAUUAAUCUACAGUCCCCAUGGGAAUUUAGGAAUCCAGCUCUAUGGGAAAAAAAAAAAAAAAAGAAAAGAAAAAAAAAAGAAAAAAAAAGCAGCUCUGAAACGAAUUAAACACAUUUUAAAUGGUUUUAAAUAUUAUUUUGUGGACAGUAUAAAUUAGGUGAAAAGGAUGAGUUGUCUAUCUUGAUUUUCAUUCUUUUAAACCUUAUAUUGGGAUAGCAUUAUAUUCUACAUCCAGCAUGGCUUUCCAUUUUCAUGGACCCUCUAUCUGUGUCAUCCAUUUUGAUUUAAGCAAAAAUUAAGAAUGCCUUAGUUGUUGCUGAAGAUGUAUUUAUUCAUCUAUUUUAAAUUUCCCAGUAAUUUUGUUGUAUUUUAUUUUCUAAGUAAUUAAGAGAUUUUCUUGAUUUGUUUUGUAAUGCACAGCACUAGGGAAAAUUAAUGGUUUUUAUAAUCUCAGACAAAUAUAAGAAUACUUAACACUUAAAAAUGUAUUGAAGGAGGAAAAUGUUGGGAAAAGAUCAAUUACAUACAACCCUUGAGGAAAUAAAAUUUUGGCUUGAAUGAUUAAUAUACAGCAUCUCAAGAAUUCACUGAAACCCAUCUUAAACUUCUUGAUGUGAUCAAUUCCAUUUUAUUGCUGUGAGAUUUAUGCAGUAAAACAAAUAAGUGGUUGAUUUAUUUAGCGUUCCACUUGUGUGACAAAGCAUAUAAGGAACGAAGAAACAUGAACUCAUCUGAUGUACGGAAAAGAACUGACUGUAUGCUAAUACUGUUAAGUGAUGUAUGAAGAUGAUAGUAAUUUUAGACUUUAUUUUUUUUGUCAUUUUUUAAUGGUUUCUAAAUGAAUCAUGCACUCCAAAUAAGGAUUCGAUUAAAUGAACUAUUUUUGCAUUCAACCUUUAAUAUUAUAUGUGCAGUACAAAAUCCCAGUAUUUUAGGAAGUUUAAAAUUAUGCAUUCUGAAUGGAAACUGAUGUUCUCUGUUUAAAUCAAGAAUAUGCAGUGCAAUGGAAAUGUAUUACAAACUUCCUAGGUGUUUUUCUUCCAAACCAUGUGCUGGUGAUACCAUCACUGGAAUGAAAGAGUCAGCUAUUUUGUCCAUGUAUAUUAUACACCACAGUUUUUUGAUGCAGUCAGUAAAAAAGGUAACAAUGAGGAGUAAAGAUGUUUGUCUAAGAAGGAAACUGAAAUUAAUUCUGGACAACACAGAAGAUCGGAAGAGACACUGUAUAGAGUGUACAGGGAUCCUUUCCUUCCCGGUAUCAUUUUAUGAACAGCUGAAUGCUACAGAGAGUUAAAGGGCUGAAGAGGUAACAGCUGAGUGGAAGACUAAUCAGUUUGUUACAUUGUGUUUGUGGAAGGAACUUUUCUUUCCUUAUGUUUGCAGAAUUGAAUAACAAAGCUUCUUGUGCAGGUUUUUUGUUGCUAGUGUGCACACACAUUUAAUGAUCCCAUAGGCUUUAACUUGAGGUGUGCAUCAAGUUUUAACCUCCCAACAAAAUAUAUUUAAAUUAUUUUCUGAAUCAUGAUGCAUCCUGUUAUUCUGUGUCCUAUUUUACCCUCUAUUUCUUUCAUAUAAAUUCAAGUGAGCAGAUGAUAAUUGUGAAAAGUGUGCUCAAGGAAGAUGGAAAGGGAUUUCUUUGAAAGGCAGACUGCAUGUGCUUACAGGGGGGUUGAUUUCUACUGGAUAUCCCAUUGUAAGGUCAUGUCAAACACCUGUGUUACUUACAAGUGAAAGUUAGAGUGGAGAAAAUAAACAAUCUUCUACAAAGUAUGUAUUAAGCAUCUAGGUCAGUAUGGAAGAUUUUUUUUUUUUUUAAUAUGUUAUAAUUUUCUCUUUUAUUUCUGAUAUUAGCAUUGGAUCUAUGUGCAAAAAGAAGCUUCACCAAACUUUUGUUCUUCAGUCUUUUUAUACAUGAAUGUAAAAAACAGUCUUGCCAGGGAUGAACUGCAAAAUCACAAGGAAAUUUUUCAUGUAUCUGCUACCUUUAAUAGCUACUCACCCUCAACAUAAAUGCCUUAAAUUUUACUUUUUUUUCCCCCCCAAGAGGGAAAUAAUUGAAUAGAUGUAAUUCAAACUAGGGAAAAGCUUUUGAAGGCUGGAGAAUAGAUUUUAAGCUGUUUUUAUUCCUGCUGUUAUGAGGGUUUUUUUCAGCUGUCUUACAGAGUCAGUCAUACACCUUUUAUACCUUUUAUUUUUCAUAAGGAGUCACAUGGUUUCCUUUCACUUCCCUUGAAUAAAAACAAAGAUAUGAAUUUGGUGCAUGCUUUGGUGCUGACUGGAGUGAGAACGCAUUCCAGGAUCCUAGUUUGUCUCUUGAUCACAUUCUGUCCUAUGGAGUGUAAGUCUUUGAUUGUAUUUCGUGGACCUUGAGCCAAUGGCCAGUACUGGGCCCCAAAUUAGCUUUAGAAAUAAAUUGAGGACUGAUUCUGUCAUCAUAUGAGAUAGAUCUAAAUGACAGGUAAAGCUGUAUUAAGGUAUGGGAUUCUAUAGGAGACACUGUGUCACAUACAAGCCCCAGAGACACCAACCUUCUCGUGUUCCUAUGAUGUCAUAGAAUUACAGAAUCAUUUGACUUGGAAUGAAUCCUUAAAGGUCAUAUAGUCCAACUCCCCUGCAGUGAGCAGGGACAUCUACAGCUAGAUCAGAUUGACUCAGACUCAGAGCUCAGUCCAGUCUGACCUUCAGCGUCUCCAGGGAUGGGGCAUCCACUGCCUCUCUGGAAAACCUGCUCCUGGGCUUCACUACCCUUAUUACCAUCUUGCAGAGCUCAUCAAAAGCAUCUGGUUGAGUUUUUGAAGGCAGCUAUGACCUUAGGCAUUUCAAUUAGCCCUACAUGCCUACAGUACAGCUUUGCUAUGGAAAACAUCUGUAAAAUGGCUUUGCAGAUUUCUGCUUUCCUUGUGCUUCAGCAAUUCUAAAUCAAGUUAACUUCAUUAAGAAAAUAAAAUUAAUUAUUGGUGAGAA
Gallus gallus (chicken) is the source of this 3110-nucleotide long non-coding RNA. RefSeq lists it as uncharacterized. The transcript is spliced from 2 exons. NCBI's taxonomy places the organism in Eukaryota, Metazoa, Chordata, Aves, Galliformes, Phasianidae. The record is from RefSeq and is a predicted model, not a curated record.